GCAUGUACCAUUGUGUUUUUAGAGUAUAGCAAAACACUAAAUUGGUUAUUUUUGCCUAGCUAGACCUAUAUCACAAACCCAAUAUAAAUAUGUAGAUAGAACUAUCUUUACAUAAGUCAGGAUUUUGUGAAUUUUAUUGGGACAGAGGCUUUUGAUCUGUCAUGCUACCAGGAGCUUCAAGUGGUUUGUCAUCCAUGGGUUUCAUGAGCAAUGGGGAAGGUUACCGUUUGUAAUAGCUGCAGGGACUCUUUUCUAGAACCACUGACCACACCAAUAAAGGCUCUUUUAGGACUGCCUUUGGUUUUCUAUUGAUGUGUUUUCUUUGCAGUCUUUAAAAACAAGUGUGUGUUUACAGAUGUCAAAUACAUGAAGUCAACUGAAAUCUGAUGAUUAUGGUUUGAAGCAAACGCAGUUUAGUUAAUAGUUUAAUACUUAGACAAGGAAAAAUGCUGGUAGUGGAAUUAAAAGCAAACCUUUCUUGUGGAGGGGCUUUGUGUGCUAGUGGUUUUGCCUCCAUGUCCGUCUGUGCCCCACAUGUGUGCCUGAUGUCCUGGGAGGUCAGAAGACGAUGUUGGAUGUGAGCAGCCAUGUGAGUGCUGAAAUUGAACCUGGGUUCUCUGGAGAACAAGUGCUGCUAACAGUUGGGCUCUCUCCAGCCCCAGGGGAUGUUUUUAAGAGGUAUUUAACUAGUAAAUAAUUAAUUGGAUGUUAGAGAGGGGGAGAUUCUGGGAUGAUCUCCAGGUUCCUGACUUGUAAGACAGUGAGUUACUUGAAUUAUUUAUUCUCCACAAAUUAUAAGAUUUCACAUUUUAAGCUUUGUGAGGUGUGUUGCUAAAAUGAAACCCUGCCAACCCUCUGUGUUACUGCUAAGUAAUGAAGUCUUCUGGAAAAUAAACCAGUACCUAAAAUUCAACUUGGUAUAUGAUUAUGUGGAAAUGUGCUAUUUUGAGUAAAGUCAUAUUUCAUUGUCACCUUCAAAUUAAUAUUCUAAAUUUACCUUAAGUAUUGUUUUGGCCACAAGAGAAAAUAAAGGACAUUAGUUAUUGCAUUAUGCUAUAAAGGGAAUUGUAUAAAGAGGUAGGAUUAACUAAAUACUCCUUGAAUUACAAAGUUGUCCUAUGAACAAAAAGUUAAGCCUUAAGGCUCCUUUGACCAUUUUUAUAGAGCUGUGAAGUGAGGGGAUCUGCUGCCAUGACCUGUCACUAUAAAGGCGUCUGUUAGUCACAAGCACAGCCAUCUCCCUUCUCACUAAGAAUAGGAAUAAGAAGAUUUACUUUCUCUAAUAUCUGAGAUCCUUCACCUUUGUGCCCUUAGCUAUUUCUACCUGUACUGGCUGGUUUUGGGUGUCAACUUGACACAGCUGGGGUUAUCACAGAGAAAGGAGCUUCAGUUGAGGAAAUGCCUCCAUGAGAUCCAGCUGCAAGACAUUUUCUCAAUUAGUGAUCAAGGGGGAAAGGCCCCUUGUGGGUGGGACCAUCUCUGGGCUGGCAGUCUUGGGUUCUAUAAGAGAGCAGGCUGAGCAAGCCAGGGGAAGCAAGCCAGUAAGGAACAUCCCUCCAUGGCCUCUGCAUCAGCUCCUGCUUCCUGUCCUGACUUUCUUUGGUGAUGAACAGGAAACUGGGAAGUGUAAGCUGAAUAAACCCUUUCCUCCCCAAUUUACUUCUUGUUCAUGAUGUUUGUGCAGGGGUAGAAACCCUAAGACACUGCCUUCAACUUAGUGAGGAUUCUGGAAGGAACAGAUUUUUUUUUUUAUCAUACGAAAAUAGUAUUUCUAUAAACAUAAAACUAAGUCAAAAAGCAUUCUGCAAAUUCCGUCUUUAGUCCUUUAUUCAAAAUCAGAUAUCAAAUUUAAAUAUUUACAAAUCACCAUUUAUAAUAAAUUUAUUCUCUCCUUUUCUUCCUGCUCCUUUGAUUUUUAAUAAUUUCAGAUUUAUUAUUCAGCAAUAUUUCAUUCUUUAAUAUUAAGAUAAAUUAAACAGCUGAUUUAGAUCACUGCUGUGGGUACAUACCUUUCUAAAAUUUCAUAAGUCUUUUGGAUACCAAUGUUUUUCCUCCCCCAAGAAAGUGAGUGUUUCUCUGUGUAGCCCUGGCUUUUCUGGAACUCACUAUGCAGACGGUGCUGGCCUCACAACUCACUGAGAUCCGCCUGCCUCUACCUCCUGAGUGCUGGGAUUAAGGGCAUGUGCCACUAAGCCCUAAUGACAUUUCAGAUUUAAUGCAUCCAAACUUAAUCGUUUACAGUAAUGAAAUAGAAAAAAAAUUCUUGUAUAUGUUGGGUUUCUGUUUACCUUCUGUUUUGUUUUAAAUUGUCUGCUUUCAUGUAUUCCUAGAUACAGUUUUUCAAUCUUUUUGCAAUCUUUAAGCCAGUCCAUUUCUCUUAUCUUAGGAUUUGGACUGUAGAACAAGGAAUUAUCUUCCAGCUGGGCUGUUUCAAUAGGAUAAUGUUUCAUUAGUUUAUACUUGUGUUAUAUACCUUUUCACAGUGCUAGAAUCAAAACCUUAUACUUGCUCCCUUUCCACCCCCCCCCACUCUCUAUGUAUAUACACAUGUCCCACGCCCUCCCAUACCCUUGCCUUCUUUUUGCCUUUCUUAGUAAAAUCUGUGAAUGAUUAUUUCCUGUGGAAGCAAGUCUUUACCUUGGGUAUAAAGUCCCUUUAUGGACAUGUUAAAACUUAACCAUUUCUUGCACAGAUACCUCCCUGCAUUCUACUGUGUAGUAAUGUUUAUGUAUCAUAUUUCAUCAUUUAACUUCCAUUCUGAUUUUGUCACUUAAUAGUUUUUAAUAAAGUAGUUAUGAGAUAUAGAUUCAGGUUUUCAUUUUCUAAAUAAAGCAAUCAAAGCUUGUAGAAAGGCCUUCUUCAUGGUUUGAUUACUAAUUGGAGCAGUCAGGAGUCAGAACCAAGUCAUUCGUCCCUCCCCCCUUCUAUCCCCCCUCCUCCUCCCUUCCCCUGUUCCCCCCUCUCUGCCAUACUGCCAUUAGAUGCGUUACUAGCAUGGGAAAGGUAUCUGCUCAUCCUUACAGUAACCUCUAGGAAAGUGAAAGGCCAUGUGUGGGAUCUAAAAGGCCUGAGGACAAUUACGCCUAUUCUUUUGGAAUGCUAGUAUUACUUUGUAACAUCUUAUUUUGUAAUGUAUCCAUCUAUGCUGCAGAAGUUGCACAUUCUAAUUUAUUUUGGUUAAGAAAAUUAAGACUACUCUUAAGAGCAGGGAUUUCUUAAUUAUUAAAAUCACCAUUAAUCACAUCAUCCAUAUAGCUUUAAAUGUAAUGGGCCUAAUAAGAUUUGUGUACAUGUAAAGGAACAUGGUGGAAAACCUGUGAGGUCAGUUCCCCAAUUACAAGGUAGUUUGAAGCAACAGAAACAUUGGCAGUUGUUGGAUACUGGUCUUUCAUCUUCCUACAGAACAAGCAAUGUUGAGUAUAUGACUUCUUAGAAAAGCAGAAUAUUAGGAGUGUCCCUGGAGUAGAGCAGCCUCGUUGUGAAAAGCCCAUUAGUGAAUCUGUAGCGCACACAGGCCAUUCCACACUUGUGCAGCUUUCUAUGUUCUCCUCGUCUUCAUGAUUAGCUUCUCACUAAUAUCCCAUGUUGCUAUGAAAAGAGCUGCAAUGUUUGGCUUGAUGUGACACUAAGUGUUUUUCAGUUAGUAUAGGGACGAGUUGGGGUACCAUGCCAUCAUCAUUCACAGCAACACACAGUUAUGCCAGCAGCCUUCCUCACACAGGAAGUGUCUUUCUGGGUAACCUCAGUAUUUGUUCAUGCUAAGUUACUUGUAAAUGGCUGCUUAAUUCAGUGUGUCUAGAGCAUUUAUGUUAUGCCAAACACUUGUCUUUAUAUGAAGAAGUAGAAGAGUACGGAGAGACUAAAAAGGCAGUGGGUUGCCUUUAAAGGACGUUAUCUGCUACAGCUUGAGUAUAUAACGUGGAAUCAGAUCUGUUUCGCUCAGACUGUAGAGUUUCAAUGGGGCGCUGUUUACCUUAGCACCAGCACUCAGAACGUUGAAUAUUACUUGAGCAGAGAGUUCUAGACUAAUCUGGACAACAAAACAAGAUCAUGUCUCAAAAAGGCAAAACAAAAGGCUGGGAGAAUGGUUUCUGAAGUAGAGUUUUGCUCUACAGUUAGGAAGAAUUGAUUUUAACCCCAAGCAACAGCUCAAAGCCAGGUUUGCAGUGCCCCUGUUAUUCUAGAACUGGGGAGGCAGAGGCAGGGUGCUCUCUGGGAUUGCUGACCACACAGUUUAUUUGAAUCAUGGAAUACUAGAUCCCCUCCUCCUCAUAUCUACACAGACUGAUCCUCUCCUGCCCAUGUCUGCACACACUGAUCCCCUCCACAUGUCUGCACACACUGAUCCCCUCCUCCUCAUAUCUGCACACACUGAUCCCCUCCUCAUGUCUGCACACACUGAUCCCCUCCUCAUGUCUGCACACACUGAUCCCCUCCUCAUGUCUGCACACACUGACCCCCUUCUCCUCAUGUCUGCACACACUGAUCCCCUCCUCCUCAUGUCUGCACACACUGAUCCCCUUCUCAUGUCUGCACACACUGAUCCCCUCCUCAUGUCUGCACACACUGAUCCCCUCCUCAUGUCUGCACACACUGAUCCCCUCCUCCUCAUGUCUACACACAGUGAUCCCCUCCUCAUGUCUGCACACACUGAUCCCCUCCUCAUGUCUGCACACACUGAUCCCCUCCUCCUCAUGUCUGCACACACUGAUCCCCUCCUCCUCAUGUCCACACACACUGAUCCCCUCCUCCUCAUGUCUACACACAGUGAUCCCCUCCUCAUGUCUGUACACACUGAUCCCCUCCUCCUCAUGUCUGCACACACUGAUCCCCUCCUCCUCAUGUCCACACACACUGAUCCCCUCCUCAUGUCUACACACACUGAUCCCCUCCUCCUCAUGUCUACACACAGUGAUCCCCUCCUCAUGUCUGUACACACUGAUCCCCUCCUCCUCAUGUCUGCACACACUGAUCCCCUCCUCCUCAUGUCUACACACAGUGAUCCCCUCCUCAUGUCUGUACACACUGAUCCCCUCCUCCUCAUGUCUGCACACACUGAUCCCCUCCUCCUCAUGUCCACACACACUGAUCCCCUCCUCAUGUCUACACACACUGAUCCCCUCCUCCUCAUGUCUACACACAGUGAUCCCCUCCUCAUGCCUGCACACACUGAUCUCCUCCUCCUCCUGUCUACACACACUGAUCUCCUCCUCCUCAUGUCCACACACACUGAUCCCCUCCUCCUCAUGUCUGCACAUACUGAUCCCUUCCUCCUCAUGUCUACACAUGCACAUAAUCCAAACAAAUAUUUUUAAAUUGAGAAAGGAAUCACAAGAAUUUUAUGAUAGGCAGCAAAGAAAAUUUUUGUGUAUGUAGAUUUUGCAUUCUUUUGGGAAAAGAUAUAAGCAGUAAAUUAAAUAGCAGUUCAAGAGAAAUGGGGCAGGGAAGUGUUCAGUAGAUCUCCAAUUCUUCAAGAAGUAGGCCAAUAGUUGACAGAUGGGAACUCGUGAAACUACAAAGCUUCUUUACAGCAAAGUAAAAUGACAGCUCACAGAAUGGGAGAAAAAUACCUACACACUCUACUUUUGAUAGAAUAUAAUAGAGAUAUAGAAACAACUCAAAAUAUAUAAUAAGAAAUUAGAUAGUCCAAUCAGAUGAAAUGCAAAUGACCAAUGAACAUUGGGAAAAUAUUCAGUUUUCUAACCUUAGAGAAAUACAAAUCAAAACUACCCUACGAUGCUAUAUUACCAGAGAGUCAGUUGCCAUUCAUCAGGAGAACAAAUAACAAAUGCUUGUAAGGAUAUGGGCAGGAAAGAGCCUUUUAUAGAUAGGUUUAUUGCCUAUACUUUUGCCCUGUACAGAAUCAUAUCUAAAAUUAAAAGAAAGAAUGUAGCAGUUAACAAACGGGGAUACCUGGUCAGAGGUGAUGGUGACUUGUAGCAUAGUACUAGUUAGGAAGGUGAACACAGCUUGCACCUUCUUAGAGGUUGAAUCAAUCAACAGGAGUUGUUGCUAGGAUAACAGGCGUUUGAAUAAAGGACUCAAAAACUUGAUGAAGGACAGUGAAACAUAAUGGAGAGCAGUAGCUCAUUUAGAGUAGGCUAAAAGGCACAAAGAGUCCUACUUGAACUGGUGGUGGAACUGCUCUUGAGAGGUAGUAAAGGGUUUAAGUGGAAAGCACAGGGCAGGGCAGGAAAGGACCCGGCCUCUGAGAUCUGGCAGUGUAAGCUCUUGAACAUCGGUGGUUCAGCGCACUGGAGAGCCAUAGGUAUGAGCGUGCGAUGUGUAGGGUCUGAUCAAAGAAGAUUCUGCAGUAUGAAGGAGGCGACUGUUUCCUAGGCUUUAGGAGAUGUGGUCAGACCAUAAGCCCUGGCGUUCUCAAAGCUCAGUGUCCUGACUCCUGGUGCGCCCCCAUUCUCCCUCUUCUUUCUAGUUUUCCAUCUGCCUGACCGCCAUAUUCUCUCAAAGAACCGCCUGAGAUGCUUGCUUUGUCCUGGUUAUACUUGCUUUAAACUUUUCAAAUGUACUUUUUGCUGAAAAGUCAUCUUAACACUUAAUUUCUCUUAGAAAUUGUAGGGGCGACGAUACUCAUCUUUGAGGGAGAGUCACUAUCCCUACCCAGUUCUGAAGCCACUCUGAAGGUUUGGAAGUGCUCGGGCAACAGGACAGCCUCCUGGCAUCCUUCCCACCCUUUCUCUUCCCUUCGCCCAGACCCUCCCCUUCUCCUGCCCCAUGCAGAUCUAGAGCCUGUUUGUUGGUACCCUGUCCUCCUUCUUCAGGCCUGCUAAGAUUCUCUUUUUACGUAGUAAUGGCCACGUUCCCCAAGUGCUUACACUUUGUUAAGAAAAAAGAGUUACAGACACAAAGUUUGGAGCUGAGACGAAAGGAUGGACCAUCUACUGAUUGCCAUAUCCAGGGAUCCACCCCAUUAUCAGCUUCCAAACGCUGACACCAUUGCAUACACUAGCAAGAUUUUAUCGAAAGGACCCAGAUGUAGCUGUCUCUUGUGAGACUAUGCCGGGGCCUAGCAAACACAGAAGUGGAUGCUCACAGUCAGCUAAUGGAUGGAUCGCAGGGCCCCCAAUGGAGGAGCUAGAGAAAGAACCCAAGGAGCUAAAGGGAACUGCAACCCUAUAGGUGGAACAACAAUAUGAACUAACCAGUACCCCGGAGCUCUUGACUCUAGCUGUAUAUGUAUCAAAAGAUGGCCUAGUCGGCCAUCACUGGAAAGAGAGGCCCAUUGGACACGCAAACUGUAUAUGCCCCAGUACAGGGGAAAGCCAGGGCCAAAAAAAUGGGAAUGGGUGGGUAGGGAAGUGGGGGGGGGAGGGUAUGGGGGACUUUUAGGAUAGCAUUGGAAAUGUAAUUGAGGAAAAUAUGUAAUAAAAAAUAUUAAAAAAAGAAAAAAGAACACUGAGAUACUAGAAUGAGUGAGGAGUGUGGACAUUAAUGAAUGACAAAGGGAUAGUUAACUUUCCAAAUUUACAUUCAUUUGUUUUUAGGAAGUUUAUCUUUGGCAGCUGGAGAGGUGUUUCAGUGGUUAAGUGCACUGUAUGCUCUUGCAGAGGACCUGGGUUCCACUCUAAGCAACUACCUAGUGAUUCACAUCUGUCAGGAAAUCCAGUCCCAGGAGACCCAGCAACCUCUUCUGGCUUUCACAGGCAGUGUCUACAUAUGGUACACAGACAGAUGUACAUGCAGACAAAACACCAUACCCAGAAAAUAAAAAUAAAUAUGCAUAUACACACACAUACAAACACAUAAAGAAUUUUGUCUACAUGGUGAUGAUAAUCAUGGAAAAGUGGAAAACUAUUACCAUAGGUGCUAAUGAGAUAAUGUUGGUAUGCUAACAGGAGAACUCUGCAUUGAAAACUCAUGACAUUUCAAUUCCCAGUUAUUUUUGUACUAUUUUUAAAAUUGUAAUUACAUCACAUGUUCCCUUUCUUUUUCCUUCCUUCAUCUCCUCCCAUGCCCCCUUGCCUCUUUUUCUCAAAUUUGUGCCCUCUUUUUCUUCUGUCUGCUUGUCUCACACACACACACACACACACACACACACACACACACACACACACACUCCUAAAUACAACCUAAUCGCUCUGUAAUUUUACCUCUAUGUUUAUGAUCUUGUAGCUAUUUUGUAGGUUAUUAUUAAUCCUAACUUUGCUAUAUCAUAUGUUACACUUCUAAAUUUUCUUUAUUUACUUUUGGUUGUUUGAGACAUGGCCUCUUCUUGUCACAGAUAUAAACAUUCAUUCCUAAAAAACCCAAUAUACCUGUGUGUUACCUGUAUUUAUAUGACCUCACUUUUGUCAGUUAUUAAUCCUAACUUUUCUAUAUCAGAUAUUACACUUUUAUGUUUUAUUUACAUUUUAAUAUUGUUGCUUGAGACAUGGCAUUAUGUAUACUAGGCAGGCCUUGAACUUGUUCUCUGUCCCAAGGGAGGAUCUGGAGCAUGGCUCUUCCUGGUUCUACCUCCCGUGUGCUAGGAUUACAGGUGUAGGCCACCAGCCUGGUUAUACUGACCACAGGAGAAAAUCUUGUCUUAUGUUGUCCCUGACAGGAAGCUUUAGUACCUAAAUGACUGAUAGACGUGUUUUUAUAAUUACAAUUUGGCGUUUGGUUGACUUUCACAGGUGAACCACCACUGCGCUGCCCUUCCUGUAGAUUUUGUUUUGUUCAUGUGUGUAUACUGUUUGGAUCUAACUUGACAUAUAUUAGGUCAUGUUUACUGGUGAAAAUAUUCCCAUUCAUCCUCAUGUGUAUAGCAAUGGUCAUAUCUGUUUAUCCAUUCUAACAGAAGACUG
RNA transcript from Mus musculus (house mouse), 8804 nucleotides. It is a transcript of the gene named ubiquitin-conjugating enzyme E2W (putative), with no coding region annotated. The record is from RefSeq and is marked validated. The transcript has 2 exons. NCBI's taxonomy places the organism in Eukaryota, Metazoa, Chordata, Mammalia, Rodentia, Muridae.